RNAcentral lists this ribosomal RNA (460 nucleotides) under uncultured bacterium. RNAcentral describes it as "partial 16S ribosomal RNA". It matches the Rfam family "Bacterial small subunit ribosomal RNA", at positions 338 to 795 of the family's 1533-position model. The record is from RNAcentral.
CCUACGGGUGGCUGCAGUGAGGAAUAUUGGUCAAUGCGCGCGAGCCUGAACCAGCCAAGUCGCGUGAGGGAUGACGGUCCUACGGAUUGUAAACCUCUUUUGCCGGGGAGCAAGCGUGCGUUCGUGAACGCGCGUCGAGAGUACCCGGAGAAAAAGCAUCGGCUAACUCCGUGCCAGCAGCCGCGGUCAUACGGAGGAUGCGAGUGUUAUCCGGAUUUAUUGGGUUUAAAGGGUGCGUAGGCGGGAUGCCAAGUCAGCGGUAAAAAUGCGGUGCUCAACCUCGCUCCGCCGUUGAAACUGGCGUUCUUGAGUGGGCGAGAAGGAUGCGGAAUGCGUGGUGUAGCGGUGAAAUGCAUAGAUAUCACGCAGAACUCCGAUUGCGAAGGCAGCAAACCGGCGCCCAACUGACGCUGAAGUACGAAAGCGUGGGUAUCGAACAGGAUUAGAUACCCGAGUAGUC